UAUACAUUCAGUUUAUGCAUUGAACUUAUGGUACACUGCACAUUUACAGUAAUCAGCGUAAAGUCGCCUAGUUCAACUCCUGCAAUGCCUGUGAUACACAUGGUACUUUUGGUAUUUUUUUUUUUCACAUCGAACAUUAUCUGUCAGGAAUUUCAUGGUUAUCUCUUAUGUAAGCAGUUACCUCAGCAGAAGACACUCCCACCCGCCUGUUCCCUUGGCUGGUGGUCUAUGUCCGUUAAUGAGUUUGUGUCUCAGACUUCUGGAUGUGUUGUCUGGUUUUUGGGUUUAGCUUGGCUUCUGGAUUUAAUUUAAUCUGGGCUUUAACUGUUUGGUCAAGCCAGCCUAACCUGCGCCUGUGGCGAUGGUCUAGCCCACAGUGGCGGAGAGUGUUCCCCCCAGCGGGAGUCAGAAUUCCCUUCCCAAGGGAUGGGUUGUUUGUCUGAGUUGUCUCAAGUCUAUCAUUCCUGCCCUGGGUGCUAUUGUCCAGUCAUUCAGGAGGUGUUUAG
Non-coding RNA from Pelobates cultripes (western spadefoot toad), 506 nucleotides. Lineage: Eukaryota; Metazoa; Chordata; Amphibia; Anura; Pelobatidae. The record is from the annotation of a GenBank genome assembly.